ACGGGAGGCAGCAGUAGGGAAUCUUGCGCUAAUGCGCGAAAGCGUGACGCAGCGACGCCGCGUGCGGGAUGAAGGCCCUCGGGUCGUAAACCGCUUUCGGCAGGGACGAAGCGAAAGUGACGGUACCUGCAGAAGAAGUCCCGGCUAACUACGUGCCAGCAGCCGCGGUAACACGUAGGGGACGAGCGUUGUCCGGAUUCAUUGGGCGUAAAGCGCGCGUAGGCGGCUCGGAAAGUCGGUCGUGAAAUCCUGGGGCUCAACCCCGGAACUGCGUCCGAUACUCCCGAGCUGGAGGCAGGUAGGGGAGAUCGGAAUUCCUGGUGUAGCGGUGAAAUGCGCAGAUAUCAGGAGGAACACCGGUGGCGAAGGCGGAUCUCUGGGCCUUGCCUGACGCUGAGGCGCGAAAGCUAGGGGAGCGAACAGGAUUAGAUACCCUGGUA
RNAcentral lists this ribosomal RNA (440 nucleotides) under uncultured Actinomycetes bacterium. RNAcentral describes it as "bacterial SSU rRNA". It matches the Rfam family "Bacterial small subunit ribosomal RNA", at positions 341 to 792 of the family's 1533-position model. Lineage: Bacteria; Bacillati; Actinomycetota; Actinomycetes. The record is from RNAcentral.